This 1934-nucleotide ribosomal RNA is filed under the name Aphelenchus sp. 12-6370. RNAcentral's name for it is "SSU rRNA". The stretch from base 1 to 1700 matches the Rfam family "Eukaryotic small subunit ribosomal RNA". The record is from RNAcentral. Lineage: Eukaryota; Metazoa; Nematoda; Chromadorea; Rhabditida; Aphelenchidae.
CUGCGAACGGCUCAUUACAACAGAUAUAAUCUACUUGUUCUUUGACUUAAAUGGAUAACUGCGGUAAUUCUGGAGCCAAUACAUGCGAAAAGCCGUGGUCUUCGGAUCGCGGUGCUAUUAUUGGAGCAAAACUAUUCGUUAGUCCUUUUGCUAACUCUGGAUAAUACUGCGUAUCGCACGACCUCGUGUCGGCGAAGAUUCAUUCGAGUAUCUGCCCUAUCAACUGGUUGGCAGUGUAUUGGACUGCCAUGGUUCUAACGGGUAACGGAGGAUCAGGGUCUGACUCCGGAGAGGGAGCCUUAGAAACGGCUACCAUGUCUAAGGAUAGCAGCAGGCGCGAAAAUUACCCAAUAUCAAUACGAUGAGGUAGUGACGAGAAAUAACGAGUCCGUUCUCUUUGAGGUCGGACAUUGGAAUGGGUACAAUCUAGACAAUUUAACGAGUAUCUACGAGAGGGCAAGUCUGGUGCCAGCAGCCGCGGUAAUUCCAGCUCUCGUAAUACAUAGAAUUAUUGUUGCGGUUAAAAAGUUCAUAGUUGGAUUGUUGAACCGUCCUGGGUGCGUCCUAACGGGCGUCACUCGUGGGCGGUAUUUUGCGCGUUUGUGUGCGUUCGGCUUUUGGUUGGGCGUACGCUGCGCGCAGGAUUACUUUGAACGGCUUAAGUGCUCAAGGCGGGUCUUAUGACUGAAUACCGGUGCAUGGAAUAAUGGAACAAGGUUGCGGCCGAGUUUUAUUGGUUUUGUCGGCUGAAACAAUGGUUAAAAGGAACAGCCGGGGGCAUUCGUAUCGCUGCGCGAGAGUGAAAUUCGGGGACCGUAGCGAGACGCACUAAAGCGAAGGCAUUUGCCAAGAGUGUUUUCAUUAAUCAAGAACGAAAGUCAGAGGUUCGAAGGCGAUUAGAUACCGCCCUAGUUCUGACCGUAAAUGAUGCCAACUACCAAUCCGCUCGUGGAUUCAAUUAUUGAGCGGGCGGGUUUCCGGAAACGAAAGUUUUUCGGUUCCGGGGGAAGUAUGGUUGCAAAGCUGAAACUUAAAGGAAUUGACGGAAGGGCACCACCAGGAGUGGAGCUUGCGGCUUAAUUUGACUCAACACGGGAAACCUCACCCGGCCAGCACAUCGUAAGGAUUGACAGACCGAUAGCUCUUUCAUGAUUCGGUGGAUGGUGGUGCAUGGCCGUUCUUAGUUCGUGCUAGUUUUGAAGUGUCUGCUUAAUUGCGAUAACGAGCGAGACGCCAACUGUUAACUAGUGCGUCGAUUGGUUCGCUUGUCGACGAACACUUCUUAGCGGGAUUCGUGGCCUUUAGCCACAAGAAAUGGCGCAAUAACAGGUCUGUGAUGCCCUUAGAUGUUCGGGGCCGCACGCGUGCUACAAUGGUGGUAUCAGCGUGAUUGUCCUACUCCGACAGGAGAUGGCAAACAGUUGAGAUAUUAUUAUGGCUGGAAUUGAGUGUUGAAAUUUUCACUCAUGAACGAGGAAUUCCAAGUAAAUGCGAGUCAUCAACUCGCAUUGAUUACGUCCCUGCCCUUUGUACACACCGCCCGUCGCUCCCCGGGACUGAGUUGUUUCGAGAAAUCCACGGACCGGUGCCGCUGCGUGUUUCGGCAUGCGUGGCGCUGGAAAGUGGCUUAAUCGCAACGGCUUGAACCGGGGAAAAGUCGUAACAAGGUUGCAGUAGGUGAACCUGCUGCAAGAUCAGGUAUCGAAUAAGUACAUAAAAUAAGUUGCUCGGUGUUACGUCCACCUUGCACGAUGAAGAGACAAGAAGCGUCUAUAUUCGGAGGUCUCCGUGAAGCGCUUACUUGUUCUCGAAGCUGGUCUCCGCGGAGAUUUCAGUAGUAGAACGAACGGCUUCUCUGGGCCUCUAUGUUGGAUUGAGCUGUUGUGUUACACGUCCGUGGCUGAACCAAGUCCCAACGAUCGCGCCAAUGUCGU